GACGGACGCUGGCGGCGUGCCUAAUACAUGCAAGUCGAACGCAUUUUCUUUCACCGUAGCUUGCUACACCGAAAGAAAAUGAGUGGCGAACGGGUGAGUAACACGUGGGUAACCUGCCCAUCAGCGGGGGAUAACACUUGGAAACAGGUGCUAAUACCGCAUAAUUCCAUUUACCGCAUGGUAAAUGGAUGAAAGGCGCUUUUGCGUCACUGAUGGAUGGACCCGCGGUGCAUUAGCUAGUUGGUGGGGUAACGGCCUACCAAGGCUGCGAUGCAUAGCCGACCUGAGAGGGUGAUCGGCCACACUGGGACUGAGACACGGCCCAGACUCCUACGGGAGGCAGCAGUAGGGAAUCUUCGGCAAUGGACGCAAGUCUGACCGAGCAACGCCGCGUGAUUGAAGAAGGUUUUCGGAUCGUAAAACUCUGUUGUUAGAGAAGAACAAGGAUGAGAGUGGAAAGUUCAUCCCUUGACGGUAUCUAACCAGAAAGCCACGGCUAACUACGUG
RNAcentral lists this ribosomal RNA (507 nucleotides) under uncultured bacterium. RNAcentral's name for it is "partial 16S ribosomal RNA". It matches the Rfam family "Bacterial small subunit ribosomal RNA", at positions 28 to 507 of the family's 1533-position model. The record is from RNAcentral.